Long non-coding RNA from Sardina pilchardus (European sardine), 457 nucleotides. RefSeq lists it as uncharacterized. The record is from RefSeq and is a predicted model, not a curated record. NCBI's taxonomy places the organism in Eukaryota, Metazoa, Chordata, Actinopteri, Clupeiformes, Clupeidae. The transcript has 2 exons.
CGUCUCGACUUCGUCAUAUUAAGUGUCAUUCUUGUCAAUUCUGUGUGUACAUGGUUUUGGUUCAUUAUUCUUUUGUUUUGAUUUGCUUUACCACUGGCAGGAGGCCAUUUCCCCUGCGCUGCUGAUAACCAGUGUCCCAACAUCUUACUUUGAGCUGAGGCCUACAGUGGAGGGGCUACUGUCUUCCUGGUGGUGUCCCCUUUUUGGUGUGCUACUAUUAUACCUCACGGGUGUUGCUGAUUUGACCUUUGCUGUGUGUGUGUGUGUGCGAAUACGUGGACACUCUUGCAGUGGUGUGACCUCCUGGGACGCCUCUCUCCUUAGUUAGCCAGUCCCCUCGCUGGUAAGCCUCAGUUCCUGCUGUCUGUCUCCCCUUGGUAUGUCUGAUGUGCUUGAGACAAUGUGAGUGUAAUUUUAGAUUUUGUUAAUAAAUUAUUGUCAUUGUACUGGAAUGGAA